AUAAAAAUAAUUUUUAAUAGCCUCUAAAGUAGUGCUUUUCUCAGCACAACUCAAACAGCAAUAGCAAGCAGACUCUUAGAGUUUUACAACUCUAUUUGUUUCAAGAUGAAAUCUUAAAAAAGAGUGAAUUACACCAGAAAUUUUUGUUAAAAGGUUCAAGGGAUGAUCAUAAGACACUAAAGCUUUAUCCCUAUAGGUUGUAUACCUCUAGUUUAUGCCUUCCAUAGCUGGAAAAGACUUUAAACCAUCCUUUUUGAGAUCCCAUUUUCUAAUAGUAGAUACAGUUAUUUUAUUGAGUCUCCUUUCUCCAAGUGCACUUGCAAAUGUGAUGGACAAUAUUAGCAUGAUGUUUCACUUUACCCUGAAAAGAAGACUUCAGCUUUUCCAUCUCAAAUGUAUGAAUUACAGUUCUAAUAUCAGCUGUCAGCACUUUUUUUAUCAGUUCCCCCCUUUCUGAUAAUUACUGUCAUAUUUCAUUAUUCAGUCAGAUGAACUUCUGGAUUUUGGUCUAUUGUAAUAUAACCAAUAUGUGUUUUAUGAGCAUGGAUGACAUAUUACAUAAUAUCUGGUUGACUUGUUGAAAGUUGAAAGCGUUCUUUGUCCUGUACUAGAUCAUAAACUGAUAUAUAUUUAUAUAUCCCUCUGCUUGUGUGUUUGUCUGGCUUCAAAACAUGUAUAUAUAUAUAUUUGCUUUGUUAGUUUUUGUAUUAGUUUA
This 715-nucleotide unclassified non-coding RNA is filed under the name Hevea brasiliensis (rubber tree). The record is from RNAcentral. Lineage: Eukaryota; Viridiplantae; Streptophyta; Magnoliopsida; Malpighiales; Euphorbiaceae.